GACGAACGCUGGCGGCGUGCUUAACACAUGCAAGUCGAACGGAAAGGCCCUGCUUGCAGGGUACUCGAGUGGCGAACGGGUGAGUAACACGUGGGUGAUCUGCCCUGCACUUCGGGAUAAGCCUGGGAAACUGGGUCUAAUACCGGAUAGGAGCCAUUUUUAGUGUGAUGGUUGGACAGUUUUUUCGGUGUAGGAUGAGCUCGCGGCCUAUCAGCUUGUUGGUGGGGUAAUGGCCUACCAAGGCGGCGACGGGUAGCCGGCCUGAGAGGGUGGACGGCCACAUUGGGAAUGAGAUACGGCCCAGACGCCGACGGGAGGCAGCAGUGGGGAAUAUUGCACAAUGGGCGCAAGCCUGAUGCAGCGACGCCGCGUGGGGGAUGACGGCCUUCGGGUUGUAAACUCCUUUCGCUAGGGACGAAGCUUUUUGUGACGGUACCUAGAUAAGAAGCACCGGCUAACUACGUG
Molecule: ribosomal RNA, 465 nt
Filed under: uncultured bacterium
Lineage: Bacteria
Description: partial 16S ribosomal RNA
Rfam family: Bacterial small subunit ribosomal RNA
Source: RNAcentral